GCAAGCGUUGUUCGGAUUUACUGGGCGUAAAGGGCGCGUAGGCGGCGCAACAAGUCACUUGUGAAAUCUCCGGGCUUAACCCGGAGCGGCCAAGUGAUACUGUCGUGCUAGAGUGCGGAAGGGGCUACUGGAAUUCUCGGUGUAGCGGUGAAAUGCGUAGAUAUCGAGAGGAACACCUGCGGCGAAGGCGGGUUGCUGGGCUGAUACUGACGCUGAGGCGCGAAAGCCAGGGGAGCGAACGGG
Molecule: ribosomal RNA, 243 nt
Filed under: uncultured bacterium
Lineage: Bacteria
Description: partial 16S ribosomal RNA
Rfam family: Bacterial small subunit ribosomal RNA
Source: RNAcentral